GGACGGGUAGCAUAACUGGUUAAUGCGCUGCACUUUUGAACAAUCAUAACGAUUUACACCGCAUGAGAAGCGUGGUUCGAGUCCCGCUCUGUCCC
Non-coding RNA from Stygiomarasmius scandens, 95 nucleotides. The record is from the annotation of a GenBank genome assembly. NCBI's taxonomy places the organism in Eukaryota, Fungi, Basidiomycota, Agaricomycetes, Agaricales, Campanellaceae.